Molecule: non-coding RNA, 98 nt
Organism: Myotis brandtii (Brandt's bat)
Lineage: Eukaryota; Metazoa; Chordata; Mammalia; Chiroptera; Vespertilionidae
Source: Rfam
CAUGCACUGGUGGGGUCCCUCAGCCUGGUCUGCACCCUCUUGCAAUCUGGGACCCCUCAGGGGAUGCAGGCCAGGCCGAGGGACCCCACUGGUGCACA